This 815-nucleotide long non-coding RNA is filed under the name Anas platyrhynchos platyrhynchos (common mallard). Its description in RNAcentral is "lncRNA (ENSAPLG00000021796.1)". Lineage: Eukaryota; Metazoa; Chordata; Aves; Anseriformes; Anatidae. The record is from RNAcentral.
AAAACUAAGAUGGCCCUUUCUCCUCCACUGCCAUCCUAACUGGAGAGUUUUGGGACAGGAACUGCACUGCAGGAGGGACCGAUCCAUGGCCCUGCUACAGCUACGCCAGGAGAGCACCAACAGCUGGCAAGCGCCCGUUCCGUCUGGAGUCUUGCAACUGAAGCAAAGCCAAAUACAUUUAGGCUGAUGACUUGAUUCCCUCAUCAGAAAGAUAUAGGCCCAUAAAUAGUUUAAUUAAUUGGCCCAGGACUGAAGUUAAGAUGACUGAUCUUUUGAGUUUCUUCUUUCUCACUGGUUGGCCCCUGUUCGGUGGUCCAGAACCUCAGCCACCCUCCAUUUACUCCCAGAAGUAACGAGUCAUAAUGCCACAGCUGCCACAGCUGGGUGUCCAAAUCACAUCCAGGCGGGAUUUCACAACAUGCAGACCACUUGAAUGCAUCGAAUGCUGUCGAGGUGGUUUGAAGCAAGAAAGGGAAGGGAUGGCUAAAGGCGGAGAUCAAAUAACUUUGGCAGGAACCUUACAAAGGAGCCUUCAUAUGGAGGCACUUUUCAAGGGAACCAGACUGAGAGCUGGAAGAAAUGUCCAGGUUACAAUCAGGAAGGACAAAAGUCCAGAUAAGAUAAAAAGAUACACAGUUCACUUUUUUUUUGGAGGACCUUCUUCUUCCCCAGGUGACAGAGACUGUCAUUGGAAGCUUCACAGGAAAUUUUCUAACAAUCUGGGAGAAAGGUUCCUAUUUUCUGGAAGUUUUCCAGCAUGUUACCAGCUAGGGUACGGUGGUGUUACUAAGAUCAGCAGAAGAUACUGCUUUUAA